AGGAGCCUAGCCUGGCCUCUUCUACGUGGUAGAGUGCUUAGAGAUCACGCCAGCACCUCCAUCCACUCUAAGUGGGCGGGCUGGGGAGAAGGAAAGCCAGGUUCUUCUGCUGGAGUGUGGAGAAGAGCAACCUGGUCCACAGCCUGCAGGUGGCCCAGCAGCAGGCCGAGGAGCUGCCGCAGGAGCGGGAGAAGCUGCAGGUUGCCCAGGAGGAGCUGCAGCGCCAGCGGGACCGGCUGGAGGAAGAGCAGGAAGAGGCGGUGCAGAAUGGCGCACGGGUUCGCCGGGAGCUUGAGCGCAGCCAUAGACAACUAGAGCAGCUGGAAGGGAAGCGCUCAGUCCUGGCCAAGGAGCUGGUGGAGGUGAGGGAGGCGCUGAGCCGCGCCACGCUGCAACGGGACAUGCUGCAGGCCGAGAAGACCGAGGUGGCCGAGGCGCUGACCAAGGGUGAGGCUGGCCGCAUGGAGCUCGAGCUCUCCGUGACCAAGCUGAGGGCAGAGGAGGCCUCCCUGCAGGACUCCCUGUCCAAGCUGAGCGCCCUCAACGAGAGCCUUGCUCAGGACAAGUUGGAUCUGAACUGCCUUGUCACCCAGCUGGAGGAAGAAAAGGCCAUGCUGCAGGGCCGGCAGCGGCAGGCGGAGCAGGAGGCCACAGUGGCGCCGGCAGAGCAGGAGUGGCUGGAGGAGCUGUGGUUGGAGCAGGAGGUGGCACGGCAGGGCCUGGAGGGCUCCCUAUGAGUGGCGGAGCAGGCCCAGGAGGCGCUGGAGCAACAGCUCCCCACACUGCACCAUGAGCUCAGUUGGCUGCAGGAGCAGCUAGCACAGGCCUUGUCUCUGAAGGAGUCUGAGAAGAUGGCGCUGUCAGAGAAGUUGAUGGGUACACGGCACAGCCUGGCCACCAUCUCCCUGGAGAUGGAGCGGCAGAAACCAGAUGCCCAGAGCCGGCAGGAGCAGGACCGGGUAGGCCUGCCGUCGUAGGGAGGCUUGCGGAGCAGGAGCGCCCUCUCUCCACCGAGCUAUCCCGCGGUUUCCAGCAUCCCAUCUGGCGGACUCCUCUUCCUCUCUCUUCUCCUACUCUGGGUCUUCUAUCCUGGUGUUCCUUGAAUGCCUAUCUUCCUUUUGUGCCUCGGAACCUCUCACGCCUGCCACAAGUUACUCUUUUCCUUGGUAGUUCUGAACUUUAAAUAAGGUAAUGCCUGUAAGAAUGCCAUAAAUGCUCAAUAAUUGUCAUCUGUUAUUAUUUUCAUCAGUAACAUCAUCUGAAUCAUCAGUAUUGUCUGCUUUUAACAGCUGCAUUUUUCAUUGUCCAAAUAUAGUCACAUACAUUUGACCAUUUUAUAAUUAUUGAAUAAUAAAUUUGUUCUGCUAUUUUACAAUGAAAAAUAAUGCUGCAGAGAGCAUUUUUGCACAUGUAUCGUGGCAGAUGUAGGCCAGAGGCUCUUCUUUUAUCCAUCCUAUGGCCAACCUAUGAAUGUAUACACGUUUAAUGAGAUUUUGCCAGCAAUCAAAGCCUUCAGGGAAAAUGUCCCUAGCUCUUUACUACAUCAGAUCAAGGACUCUGGAUAAUUGGCAUAACAUCCUGGAAUAGCUGAAACAGAGAUAUUAUUCUCUGCUCUCCUCUGUUGUCUUUGUCUUUUCACGUCUUAAUAAAAGUGCUGGUGACAAGAGUGUAA
Homo sapiens (human) is the source of this 1672-nucleotide long non-coding RNA. The record is from Ensembl. Lineage: Eukaryota; Metazoa; Chordata; Mammalia; Primates; Hominidae.